GUGCCAGCCGCCGCGGUAAUACGGAGGGUGCGAGCGUUAAUCGGAAUUACUGGGCGUAAAGCGCGCGUAGGCGGUUUAUUAAGCCAGAUGUGAAAGCCCCGGGCUUAACCUGGGAACUGCAUCUGGAACUGGUAAGCUAGAGUACAGUAGAGGACGGUAGAAUUCCACGUGUAGCGGUGAAAUGCGUAGAUAUGUGGAGGAAUACCAGUGGCGAAGGCGGCCUUCUGGACUGAUACUGACGCUGAGGUGCGAAAGCGUGGGGAGCAAACAGGAUUAGAUACCCUAGUAGUCC
This 292-nucleotide ribosomal RNA is filed under the name uncultured bacterium. RNAcentral's name for it is "partial 16S ribosomal RNA". It matches the Rfam family "Bacterial small subunit ribosomal RNA", at positions 505 to 796 of the family's 1533-position model. The record is from RNAcentral.